UACAGAGGUCUCAAGCGUUGUUCGGAUUCAUUGGGCGUAAAGGGUGCGUAGGUGGCGCUGUAAGUCGGGUGUGAAAUCCUGAGGCUUAACCUCAGAAUUGCAUUCGAUACUGCAGUGCUUGAGGACUGGAGAGGAGACUGGAAUUCAUGGUGUAGCAGUGAAAUGCGUAGAGAUCAUGAGGAAGACCAGUGGCGAAGGCGGGUCUCUGGACCAUUACUGACACUGAGACACGAAAGCGUGGGGAGCAAACAGG
RNAcentral lists this ribosomal RNA (253 nucleotides) under uncultured bacterium. RNAcentral describes it as "partial 16S ribosomal RNA". It matches the Rfam family "Bacterial small subunit ribosomal RNA", at positions 524 to 776 of the family's 1533-position model. The record is from RNAcentral.